ACUCCUACGGGAGGCAGGCAGUAGGAAUUUUCCGCAAAUGGACGAAAGUCUGACGGAGCAAUGCCGCGUGAGUGAUGAAGGUUUUCGAAUCGUAAAGCUCUGUUGUAAGGGAAGAAUAGCAAGAAUAGGAAAUGAUUCUUGUCUGACGGUACCUUACCAGAAAGCCACGGCUAACUACGUGCCAGCAGCCGCGGUAAUACGUAGGUGGCAAGCGUUAUCCGGAAUUAUUGGGCGUAAAGCGCAUGUAGGCGGCUCUUUAAGUCUGAUGUGAAAGCCUGUGGCUCAACCACAGAAUUGCAUUGGAUACUGGAGAGCUAGAAUCUUGGAGAGGUAAGUGGAAUUUCAUGUGUAGCGGUGGAAUGCGUAGAUAUAUGAAGGAACACCAAUGGCGAAGGCAGCUUACUGGACAAGUAUUGACGCUGAGAUGCGAAAGUGUGGUAGCAAACAGGAUUAGAUACCCUGGUAGGCUCUG
Molecule: ribosomal RNA, 472 nt
Filed under: uncultured bacterium
Lineage: Bacteria
Description: bacterial SSU rRNA
Rfam family: Bacterial small subunit ribosomal RNA
Source: RNAcentral